This 238-nucleotide long non-coding RNA is filed under the name Elaeis guineensis (African oil palm). RNAcentral's name for it is "long non-coding RNA (EGUI_LNC042368)". The record is from RNAcentral. Lineage: Eukaryota; Viridiplantae; Streptophyta; Magnoliopsida; Arecales; Arecaceae.
GCUAGGUCAGAGAGUCUAUGGCCACAGUAGUAUGAUUGAUAGAAAAGUUUUUAUAAGGAUCACAAUUGGACUUAAGCUGAUCGAAUUUAUCAUAUAGCUGAUGCUUAGGUUUGACGAUUUAUCUAUGACCUGCCAUCUAGUCAAGACUCACAACAAAGGGACUGAAUCACAUGUUAACUAUACUUUGAGGUUUAUUUUUGAUUCUACUAAGUUACCACUGCAUACUGUUAGAUGUCAC